CAAAACAUGGCUUCUCGUUUCUAACCUAUGUGAAGUCGUACCUGCCCAGUGAAAUUUUAACGGCCGCGGUACUCUGACCGUGCAAAGGUAGCAUAAUAAUUUGCCUUAUAAUUGAAGGCUGGAAUGAAUGGUUUGUCAAGGAUAAAACUGUCUCUAUAGAAUUUUAUAGAAUUUUAUUUCUAGGUGAAAAAGCCUAGAUUAUAUUAAAAGACAAGAAGACCCUAUCGAGCUUUAAAAAACUUAAUAAAUAUCUAUAACUAAUUAGAAAUCUAAUUAUUAAAAAUUUUGGUUGGGGCAACCUAGGAGUAAAUAAAGCCUCCUUUUUUGAAAAAACUCUUUACGUUAUGAGCCAAAAAUUUUGAUCAGUAGAAAUAGUUACCGUAGGGAUAACAGCAUUAUUUUUUUUGAGAGUUCUUAUCGAAAAAAAAGUUUGUGACCUCGAUGUUGGACCAGAAUAUCCUAAAGAUGUAGAAGUCUUUAAGGGUUGGUCUGUUCGACCAUUAAAAUUCUACGUGAUC
Molecule: ribosomal RNA, 518 nt
Filed under: Phymorhynchus sp. 2 FC-2020
Lineage: Eukaryota; Metazoa; Mollusca; Gastropoda; Neogastropoda; Raphitomidae
Description: partial large subunit ribosomal RNA
Rfam family: Bacterial large subunit ribosomal RNA
Source: RNAcentral